CCUACGGGAGGCAGCAGUGGGGAAUAUUGCGCAAUGGGGGAAACCCUGAUGCAGCGACGCCGCGUGAGUGAAGAAGUAAUUCGUUAUGUAACGCUCUAUCAGCAGGGAAGAAAAUGACGGUACCUGAGUAAGAAGCCCCGGCUAACUACGUGCCAGCAGCCGCGGUAAUACGUAGGGGGCAAGCGUUAUCCGGAUUUACUGGGUGUAAAGGGCGCGUAGACGGAAGUGCAAGUCUGGAGUGAAAGGCGGGGGCUCAACACCCGGACUGCGCUGGAAACUGUACGGGUGGAGGGCAGGAGAGGUAAGUGGAAUUCCUAGUGUAGCGGUGAAAUGCGUAGAUAUUAGGAGGAACACCAGUGGCGAAGGCGGCUUACUGGACUGUAACUGACGGUGAGGCUCGAAAGCGUGGGGAGCAAACAGGAUUAGAUACCCCUGUAGUC
This 440-nucleotide ribosomal RNA is filed under the name uncultured bacterium. Its description in RNAcentral is "partial 16S ribosomal RNA". It matches the Rfam family "Bacterial small subunit ribosomal RNA", at positions 338 to 795 of the family's 1533-position model. The record is from RNAcentral.